Molecule: ribosomal RNA, 370 nt
Filed under: uncultured bacterium
Lineage: Bacteria
Description: bacterial SSU rRNA
Rfam family: Bacterial small subunit ribosomal RNA
Source: RNAcentral
CCGCGUGGGGGAAGAAGGCUCUUGGGUUGUAACUCCUUUUCUCUGGGAAGAACAAAAUGACGGUACCAGAGGAAUCAGCAUCGGCUAACUCCGUGCCAGCAGCCGCGGUAAGACGGAGGAUGCAAGCGUUAUCCGGAAUGAUUGGGCGUAAAGCGUCCGCAGGUGGCAGUUCAAGUCUGCUGUCAAAGACCGGGGCUUAACCUCGGAAAGGCAGUGGAAACUGAACAGCUAGAGUAUGGUAGGGGCAAAGGGAAUUCCUGGUGUAGCGGUGAAAUGCGUAGAGAUCAGGAAGAACAUCGGUGGCGAAGGCGCUUUGCUGGACCAUAACUGACACUCAGGGACGAAAGCUAGGGGAGCGAAUGGGAUUAGA